Molecule: long non-coding RNA, 706 nt
Organism: Thunnus maccoyii (southern bluefin tuna)
Lineage: Eukaryota; Metazoa; Chordata; Actinopteri; Scombriformes; Scombridae
Exons: 2
Source: RefSeq, a predicted model, not a curated record
CUCUACCCCACAGCAGGUGACCGCAGUGAUCCAGCCAGCAUGGUGCCUCACUCACACUCUCCUUCACCCACCUUCGCUGUGAGCCAUGAAACUUCUUGAAAAGAUGACCUUGGAGGAGCACAGGAAGCUCACCAGUGAACUGCUUCAGAGGCAGCCAGGGUUCAUUUUUGAUGCCUUCAUGAUGCAUCAGUGCAGGCAUGGUGUCCCACCAUUUGCUGGAGUGCCAGGGGUACCAUGGUAUACUUGUAGUAACUGUACAGACAUGCCUACGGACCGGGAGAGGAAAUGCUAUGGCCAGUACCCUUCAGAUUGUGUAAUAAUAAUACCGCACUUCUCCCAGUUCUGUCUUGAAAAUGCUUUUUAUGCAUUCACAGGCGGUACUGGGAGGACAUUUUGGUAUUUGGCCAAACCAGGAAGCCUGGGGAUGACAACCGGGAGUACCGUUAUGCUGCCUAUAGACAUUUCAUCUAUUGACAGCAUGGCUCUUUAGGCCAGGGAAACCGACUUGUCAUCCCCAGUUGCUGUGUUUGGAGGAUCAGGGACAAGUUCCCUGGUCUUCCAAAGACAUCACACUGGUUUCACACCUGGCCUCUGAGUUUCUUUCCAGGUCCUCUGGAACGUCCACACAGUAUCUCAGGUACUCACACACCUGCCUGUUCAUCAUCAAGGCAUCAAAUCAUCUCAUAUUUAUUUGUUACAUUUCUGA